AUUGAACGCUGGCGGCAUGCUUUACACAUGCAAGUCGAACGGCAGCGCGGGCUUCGGCCUGGCGGCGAGUGGCGAACGGGUGAGUAAUACAUCGGAACGUGCCCAGUAGUGGGGGAUAGCUCGGCGAAAGCCGGAUUAAUACCGCAUACGACCUGAGGGUGAAAGCGGGGGAUCUUCGGACCUCGCGCUAUUGGAGCGGCCGAUGGCAGAUUAGCUAGUUGGUGGGGUAAAGGCCUGCCAAGGCGACGAUCUGUAGCUGGUCUGAGAGGACGACCAGCCACACUGGAACUGGGACACGGCCCAGACUCCUACGGGAGGCAGCAGUGGGGAAUUUUGGACAAUGGGCGAAAGCCUGAUCCAGCAAUGCCGCGUGUGUGAUGAAGGCCUUCGGGUUGUAAAGCACUUUUGGCGGGAACGAAAAGGACUGUGCCAAUACCACGGUUCGAUGACGGUACCCGCAGAAUAAGCACCGGCUAACUACGUG
Molecule: ribosomal RNA, 484 nt
Filed under: uncultured bacterium
Lineage: Bacteria
Description: partial 16S ribosomal RNA
Rfam family: Bacterial small subunit ribosomal RNA
Source: RNAcentral